CUACGGGACGCACCAGUGGGGAAUUUUGCGCAAUGGGCGUAAGCCUGACGCAGCAAUACCGCGUGAGUGAAGAAGGCCUUUGGGUCGUAAAGCUCUUUUCUGAAGGAAGAUAGUGACGGUACUUCAGGAAUAAGCACCGGCUAACUCCGUGCCAGCAGCCGCGGUAAUACGGAGGGUGCAAGCGUUGUUCGGAUUUACUGGGCGUAAAGGGCACGUAGGCGGCACAGCAAGUUAAGGGUGAAAUCCCGGGGCUCAACCUCGGAACUGCUCUUAAAACUGCUGAGCUAGAGAUAGUCAGAGGCGGGUGGAAUUCCUGGUGUAGAGGUGAAAUUCGUAGAUAUCAGGAGGAACACCGGUGGCGAAGGCGACCCGCUGGGGCUAUUCUGACGCUAAGGUGCGAAAGCGUGGGGAGCGAACGGGAUUAGAUACCCCCGUAGUC
Molecule: ribosomal RNA, 439 nt
Filed under: uncultured bacterium
Lineage: Bacteria
Description: partial 16S ribosomal RNA
Rfam family: Bacterial small subunit ribosomal RNA
Source: RNAcentral